AUCCAGCCGAAGAGUCGCAAAUAAGACAAAACAUAUGUCCUGGAU
Schistosoma haematobium is the source of this 45-nucleotide non-coding RNA. The record is from Rfam. NCBI's taxonomy places the organism in Eukaryota, Metazoa, Platyhelminthes, Trematoda, Strigeidida, Schistosomatidae.